RNAcentral lists this transfer RNA (61 nucleotides) under Ictidomys tridecemlineatus (thirteen-lined ground squirrel). RNAcentral's name for it is "Spermophilus tridecemlineatus (thirteen-lined ground squirrel) tRNA". It matches the Rfam family "tRNA", at positions 6 to 65 of the family's 71-position model. From Rfam's summary of the family: Transfer RNA (tRNA) molecules are approximately 80 nucleotides in length. Their secondary structure includes four short double-helical elements and three loops (D, anti-codon, and T loops). Further hydrogen bonds mediate the characteristic L-shaped molecular structure. tRNAs have two regions of fundamental functional importance: the anti-codon, which is responsible for specific mRNA codon recognition, and the 3' end, to which the tRNAs corresponding amino acid is attached (by aminoacyl-tRNA synthetases). tRNAs cope with the degeneracy of the genetic code in two manners: having more than one tRNA (with a specific anti-codon) for a particular amino acid; and 'wobble' base-pairing, i.e. permitting non-standard base-pairing at the 3rd anti-codon position. Lineage: Eukaryota; Metazoa; Chordata; Mammalia; Rodentia; Sciuridae. The record is from Rfam by way of RNAcentral.
UGUAGCUCAGUGGUAGAGCAUGUGGCUAGCAUGCAAAAAGGCCUGGGUUUAAUUCCCAGCA